AUGAGGAGUCAGCAUCUUAAGAAUCCUUCCACAUCUGACAAGAUGCCUAGCACACUCUGGUCGGUUUGGAACAGAACUAGAUCUCGGGGAAAUGUUCUAUCAAAACAGAACUGUCAAGAUGUGGAACUGGAAAGCAACCAAAAACCCAUCAGCUCCUCCAGGUUACCAAGAAAGAAGAACAAAUCCCUAGUAGCUGAUGUGCUUCUGCAUUUACAAGGCUAAACUGUCUGUCAUCUCUUCAAUACCACUCAUUUCUACUUUGCCAGGCUCUUACUGGCAAGUUUAGAAUAUUCACACUCAGUCCACUAGCACCAACUCAUCGUCUAUCUUAGGAAAAAAGAAACCUGGAAGAAACCUGUCUAAGUUAUACUAUUAAGAGCACACCAUCCUACCUAUGGAAUGANNNNNNNNNNNNNNNNNNNNNNNNNNNNNNNNNNNNNNNNNNNCGCUCAGUCAUGUCUGACUCUUUGUGAACCCAUGGACUGUAGCCCACCAGACUCUUCUGUCCAUGGGAUACUCCAGGCAAGCAUACUGGAAUGGGUUGCCAUUGUCUUCUUCAGGGGAUUGACAUGUGUAAAUAUAUACAUCCUGUAAAAAGACUCAGCACUGCUUUUCAUAAUUAACAAGAGUUAAGGUUUACUGUGGUAUUUGAGAAAACUCUGUAGACUUUGAUUUUCAGUGCUAUGGUGGGUCAAGUAUACAGGCAACUCUACUGAAAACAACUAAGAAAACUGGAUACUAGAGAGAAAACAUCUUUUUAAAUGACUCACAAGCUGAGAAACUGAUAAGAAAUUUUUUAACAAGGUGAUAUUCACAUAACAUGAUGGAAAUUAAUUUUCAGUUAUUCUGGAAGCUUUGGAGAUGUCCAUAAUUGAGACUAGUAAUUCUACUCCUGUGUAUAUUCUCUAAGUCACCUUCUAUAUAUGCUCACUGGGGGAAGUUCACAGCAGUACCAUCUACAGCAGCAAAAAACUGGAAAUAAUAAUAAUUCGUGUUCAUUGGUAACAGAAUAGAUACAUAUACCAUACUAUAUUCACUCCAUGGAAUUACAGUUCAGCAAAAUGAACAAACGCGCGAUAGUCAACGAUAUGGACAAAUCUAGGAGUGAAAUUACUUUGCCAGCAAAGGUCCAUCUAGUCAAGGCUAUGGUUUUUCCAG
Molecule: long non-coding RNA, 1158 nt
Filed under: Capra hircus (goat)
Lineage: Eukaryota; Metazoa; Chordata; Mammalia; Artiodactyla; Bovidae
Description: lncRNA (ENSCHIG00010001616.1)
Source: RNAcentral